RNAcentral lists this long non-coding RNA (271 nucleotides) under Homo sapiens (human). RNAcentral describes it as "non-protein coding lnc-C11orf58-5:1". The record is from RNAcentral. Lineage: Eukaryota; Metazoa; Chordata; Mammalia; Primates; Hominidae.
AGAGUGUCCAAAUGAGGGAGAGAAGAGAUACAUCUAUUUCAGAAUGUGACAGAAAAACACCAAUAGGCAGGAAAGAGGGGGCGGAAGGAAUUCACCGUACUCUCCAGUACCCCAGUUGCUGGCUGGUUAAUGAAGCAUUCUUCUCAUCAAGCUGCCUCAGUUAUUUACCAAGAGAAUGACAACCCAUUCCCCACCCCCAGCUCGAACACCCACUGUGAUCAGCUCCCUCACUUCAUGACAAUGAGGCGAUAUGUGUGGGACUGGUUUUCGC